UACGUAGGGACCAAGCGUUGUCCGGAAUCAUUGGGCGUAAAGAGCGUGUAGGUGGCUUGUUAAGUCUUGCGUGAAAUCUCGGGGCUCAACCCCGAGCGGUCGUGAGAAACUGGCAGGCUAGAGUGCGGGAGAGGAGAGUGGAAUUCCUGGUGUAGCGGUGAAAUGCGCAGAUAUCAGGAAGAACACCCGUGGCGAAGGCGGCUCUCUGGAACGCAACUGACGCUGAGACGCGAAAGCGUGGGGAGCAAACAGG
Molecule: ribosomal RNA, 253 nt
Filed under: uncultured bacterium
Lineage: Bacteria
Description: partial 16S ribosomal RNA
Rfam family: Bacterial small subunit ribosomal RNA
Source: RNAcentral